RNAcentral lists this ribosomal RNA (497 nucleotides) under uncultured bacterium. RNAcentral describes it as "partial 16S ribosomal RNA". It matches the Rfam family "Bacterial small subunit ribosomal RNA", at positions 28 to 507 of the family's 1533-position model. The record is from RNAcentral.
GAUGAACGCUGGCGGCGUGCCUAAUACAUGCAAGUCGAGCGAACGGACGAGAAGCUUGCUUCUCUGAUGUUAGCGGCGGACGGGUGAGUAACACGUGGAUAACCUACCUAUAAGACUGGGAUAACUUCGGGAAACCGGAGCUAAUACCGGAUGAUAUAUUGAACCGCAUGGUUCAAUAGUGAAAGACGGUUUUGCUGUCACUUAUAGAUGGAUCCGCGCCGCAUUAGCUAGUUGGUAAGGUAACGGCUUACCAAGGCAACGAUGCGUAGCCGACCUGAGAGGGUGAUCGGCCACACUGGAACUGAGACACGGUCCAGACUCCUACGGGAGGCAGCAGUAGGGAAUCUUCCGCAAUGGGCGAAAGCCUGACGGAGCAACGCCGCGUGAGUGAUGAAGGUCUUCGGAUCGUAAAACUCUGUUAUUAGGGAAGAACAAAUGUGUAAGUAACUGUGCACGUCUUGACGGUACCUAAUCAGAAAGCCACGGCUAACUACGUG